RNAcentral lists this long non-coding RNA (204 nucleotides) under Gossypium raimondii (Peruvian cotton). RNAcentral's name for it is "long non-coding RNA (GRAI_LNC009063)". Lineage: Eukaryota; Viridiplantae; Streptophyta; Magnoliopsida; Malvales; Malvaceae. The record is from RNAcentral.
GUACCUUCAUGUACACCUCAACUUCACACUGCUACUGAUUGAUCACUCUGAUCGAUUUCGUUUUUCAAAUCAUUAGUGGUUGAUUCACUUUCAUAAUUUUAAUGUCAAAAGUUAAAAGAAUAAAUUAUGUUAAACAAGUGAUGUAAAAUAGAAUUAAAAGACAUAAAUUAAAAAUAAGUAAUAUUUUAAAAUAGGAAAAUAAGG